Molecule: ribosomal RNA, 253 nt
Filed under: uncultured bacterium
Lineage: Bacteria
Description: partial 16S ribosomal RNA
Rfam family: Bacterial small subunit ribosomal RNA
Source: RNAcentral
UACGAGGGGGGCGAGCGUUGUUCGGAAUUAUUGGGCGUAUAGGGUGCGUAGGCGGUUUGGUAAGUCUUAUGUGAAAUCUACAGGCUCAACUUGUAGUCUGCAUGAGAAACUGCCGGGCUUGAGUAUGGGAGAGGUGAGUGGAAUUCCUGGUGUAGCGGUGAAAUGCGUAGAUAUCAGGAGGAACACCUGUGGCGAAAGCGGCUCACUGGACCAUAACUGACGCUGAUGUACGAUAGCUAGGGGAGCAAGCAGG